GGGGGCAUAGCUCAGGGGUAGAGCGUUCGACUGCAGUUCGACAGGUCCCUGGUUCAAAUCCGGGUGCUGCCC
RNAcentral lists this transfer RNA (72 nucleotides) under Drosophila sechellia. RNAcentral describes it as "tRNA-Cys". It matches the Rfam family "tRNA". Rfam says of the family: Transfer RNA (tRNA) molecules are approximately 80 nucleotides in length. Lineage: Eukaryota; Metazoa; Arthropoda; Insecta; Diptera; Drosophilidae. The record is from Rfam by way of RNAcentral.